GAUGAACGCUGGCGGCGUGACUAAUACAUGCAAGUCGAGCGAACGGACGAGAAGCUUGCUUCUCUGAUGUUAGCGGCGGACGGGUGAGUAACACGUGGAUAACCUACCUAUAAGACUGGGAUAACUUCGGGAAACCGGAGCUAAUACCGGAUAAUAUUUUGAACCGCAUGGUUCAAAAGUGAAAGACGGUCUUGCUGUCACUUAUAGCUGGAUCCGCGCUGCAUUAGCUAGUUGGUAAGGUAACGGCUUACCAAGGCAACGAUGCAUAGCCGACCUGAGAGGGUGAUCGGCCACACUGGAACUGAGACACGGUCCAGACUCCUACGGGAGGCAGCAGUAGGGAAUCUUCCGCAAUGGGCGAAAGCCUGACGGAGCAACGCCGCGUGAGUGAUGAAGGUCUUCGGAUCGUAAAACUCUGUUAUUAGGGAAGAACAUAUGUGUAAGUAACUGUGCACGUCUUGACGGUACCUAAUCAGAAAGCCACGGCUAACUACGUG
RNAcentral lists this ribosomal RNA (497 nucleotides) under uncultured bacterium. RNAcentral describes it as "partial 16S ribosomal RNA". It matches the Rfam family "Bacterial small subunit ribosomal RNA", at positions 28 to 507 of the family's 1533-position model. The record is from RNAcentral.